AAUAUUAUAUUAUUUUAUUAUAUUAUUAGGCCUUUAUAAAAUAGUCAGAGUCAGUUUGAUAAUGUGUUUAAAGUUUUCUUCAUUUUCCUUUUUUUAUAAUUGUUUUAAUGAAUUAGCAAGUGCAGUGCAAUAGCAUGGAUGACCUGUAAUAAGCCUGCAACUGUGUGCUGUUAUCACCAUGAGUUCAGUUUACUUGAGGCUGCAAAUAUAUUCAAUAUUGAAUUGAAUUGAAUUUGCCUUCAGUUCUAUUUCUGUGGUGCCAAUUUUCACUAAAAGAUUUCUGAAGACUUUACACAACUAUUACAAAAUACAUGAGAUAUAGACGGCGCCUGGAUGUUUAAAGCCCUUGACAAGCAUAGAAACUAGCUGUUUAUCUACCUACAAGAAUUUUUCAUUUUUUCAGUUAGCAUGAAAACCUAAAUACUGUAGGAGUAUACCAGAGCACCCAAAGGACACCCACUCAAAUGCAGGAAAGAACAUGACACCGCCAUGGGCCCUAACUAAAAGGAUUGGCUUCAAAUACAGCAUCCCCUUUUAACCACAUAUAUUGGCUCCCAUGUCUGUCUUAUUUUUACUCAUUAAAAAAUCUUUCCGGACACUAUUGAGGACACACAUUUUUUGCCUUCCUCCACAACGUCCAGCCAACAUUCCCCUCUAGUUCAUAUAUUAUAAUGCAUCUGCUUGAAAAACACCUGAGUCAGAAAAACAUUUUCUCACACGAUUCUUUCCCCUGGAGUAGUGUUAAGAUUUCCUCAUCUUCUUUUUCCAAUACCCACCCACCACACCUCGAACACCAUUGUAUUCGUUGCCCCUCAGAGCAAAGGCCUCUAUGAAUGCCAGCUUGUAUAUCCCAGACCAUAAACAACUUGACCGGGCAGCUUGACUGGCAUGUUUACUGGUCUGUUGACUGGGCAGUGCUAAUAAGGCCUACAUAAUUAACCCCACAUCAUAGAACAAGCACAGACAAGUCGUAACCUUUGUUAGUCGACUUUGUACUGUCCUUACAAGGGGUUGUGUUAGGGUUUUGAAUUCAAAGCAAAAAUGUUCAUUCAGUCAUUUUGUAGUAGAUUUUACUAUGGAGGCCAAAUUACAGUAUUGUAGAUGGUAGAAAACAAAAAAAGGCUUGAUAAUUAAUUUGCCUUGUUUAUGCAGUACUUUGUACUGUGCCAUGUACAGCCAAUUAUACUGUAGAUUAUACUGUAGUCUCAGUGAAUUGCAUGCUUUUAAAUUUCUUCAUCACAAUUUUAAAGUGUGAUGUAUUUCAGGAUAUUGUAAUAUGUGGGUGUGUAAAUGAUGCGAGCCCUCUGAAUUAACUGUGUAUUUCAUUUGAUCAUACUUUUUACUUUUACUUUUGAGUCAAAUACAGAGGGCGUCACAAAUAAAAAUCCAUGAAGACAUUGAAUGUAUACAGUACAAACUGGAGUUACUGAUUGGAUUCUGUUAAAAUAUAUGUAAAAAUAAAUAGAAAAAUAAAAAGAAAAUUGUAUUUAUUUAAUAAAAUAAAAAUAAGGCUGUAAUAUGACAGAAUCUGGUAUCUAAUGUAUCUUAAACACACUGUGCAAAUGUUUUCAUUAACAGCGAUAUGCAGGUAGUAUCAGCUUUUCCUUCAGAUAAUGUGAUUAAUCCCCUGCUCCACACUACUUAGUGGGAGAGCUGUUGCCAGCUCUUACACUAUUGUUAUCUUCGGUCUUUAAUAUUAGUGGGAGAGCUGGCAACAGUAAAUUCUUCCAGCAUUCACUGUUUAGCUUUUCUCGUCUGUCAUCUUUCUUCAUUUUUUUUUAUUUCAUUUGUUUUGCAGCACGUAACUAGUCCCGCAUGCUUUAAGUUACAGAAACCAUUGGAAUAUCAAAAUAUUCAGCUUUUUGAGGAGACGACUGCUAUUAUUUUUUUCAUUCAUAUCUUUCAUAUUUUUCAAGUUAUUAAGCUUUUUACAACUUUUUCCCCAUUGAAAUGAAUAGAAAACAAUUUUCAACUAGAUAAAGCCUUUCCACAAGAACACGAGUAUGACUACGAACAAGUGAAAAAAAUAUGUUAAAGUUAAAGAGAAAAGUUGUGUCUUAAAAAACUUGCUCUCACACUCUAGCUGCGACAUCACGCACUCUAGCUCACGCAAUACACACUAAAAGCUAAGAAUUCCUCAAAAGCCACCCUAUGCUUAAACUGCUAUGAAUCAGAAAGUAUUAAAGAUAUUAAAAGGCUGAAAAAUAGAUUAAUAGUUGAAUAGUUGAAGAUUGUUUUGUAGUUUAAAUGGUGUCAGUAUCUUAAAGAGUGAUGCGGUUUCUCUUCUUUUUUUUGUUUUUCCUAUACGCAUAUGCAAAAAUAAAUCCACAAAUACCACGUUUUGAAGUCUUCUUUUCAUUGAGUCGUCAGAAGCUCUCAUGGUAAUUUUUCCCACAGCAGGAAAUGUUCAUAAAGAGACAGUCUCUUGUUAUGUUUAGAAGUACCAUUCUGAUGUUUCUUAAAGGUGUAAACCUAAAGCAAAUGUCAAUGUUUUAGUACAAAAUCAUGUGUCAAUCAUUGUAUCUAUAAGUAAGAUGACAAAGCUAAAGAGCCAUCUACACUUCUAAUAAUAUUAAGAUAUUUAAAAUAUUUUUAUUGAACAAACCACAGUUUUUUAGAAGGUGCAAACAUGAAGAGUCUAAUGAAAGUCAUUCACCAAUCAUUGCAAAGGUUACUCCUUCUCACACCAGUUUCUGUAAGGUUGUAUUACCCAUAAUGCAUUGCGAUUUUAAUUUGCAUAUAAUGCUGAAAUAUUGAGUUUGCUCCUUCAAGAAAAGCUUAAAGGUCCAUGCACAUGCAAAAUUCACUUUUUGGACAUUCUGGUAAGUUUAUUUGACGCCCUAGGUCACAUUAAGACACUCCGGGUGUGUUAGAAGUAUGCCCCCUACUUAUUUCACAUUUUUGAGAGUUUAUCCAAUCCGGUUCAAAAACCAUCGUUUCAAAUUUGGCGGCCUCGAGACGUCUGCAUUUGCGCUGACCAAUCACAGAACCAGCUUAGCCCCCCCCCAGACAAACCUGGACCCCUAAAUGUACCUGAAACAUUUUGUUUCAGUCCCUCCAGUCACAGACAAAAGAAGAAGUCACUCACUGCGCAGUCUACCAUAGGAGAUGGCGCUAAUGCACCUUUCAGUUGGUUGCCACCCGCCUUUUAAAAGAAGAAGAAGAAGUCACUCAGGUUGAAGAAGCGCCCACUUGCUGCUUCCCCAAACGUAAGUACAUGCUUGAUACUUAUUUGAUGUAUGUACUCCAGAAGUUUCUUUGUUUAUAAUGUAGCUUCCCUCCUGUGUAAGGAAUGCUAAUUGUUAGAACCGUUGCGUUGCCACGCAAUUUGGAUGAGUCCAAGCCUCUCCAGCAUUUGUCCGGUUCGAAUCGUGUGAUAUAUGGUACUGAGGUCAUUCACUCAGCUCACAUUAUAGCUGCUAGCGUGAUAGUAGCGCAGCUUUAGCGGCUAGCGUUAGCGACUAGCGCUAGUAAAUUGUCAGCUGUGUUUCUAAUUACUACCGAGCCUGUCGUGUGUAUGUUGUAGCCCGAGUAGACCCGUGUAUUUGGGUUAUGGCAGGUUCUAUCUAAGUCUAACAUGUGUGUUGUUGCUUAUCUAGUCAGCUACCUUAGCUGUAAACGUGACAUUUUUUUAUACAGGCUAAAUCAUGCCAGCUACCGAAACGCGAAGAGGUUGCUUCUCAAACUGACACGCGGCUACCUUGUAGAAGAGUAAUAGAGUGCUCACCUCAGGAGCAAAGAGUGGUGUCAAGGAAAACAGCUGCAUCCUCCAUCUGUACAGUGGCUGCACUGCUUCCGAUGUCUUCCAACGCGUGAAGACAAAAAAGAGCCUAACAUCUCCCCAGCCAACUGCUCAUGACUGUACCUGUUCCACUCCAGAAACUAUGCUUUCAACAUAACUAUGAAUCCUACCCGUUCAUUUUGUGGUCUGCAAAUUGAACUGUGACGGUAACUUAUCCAGCAUUAUAGUGCUGGUGCAUUGGUUAAAAAUAAAGUUGGCUUUGACUAUU
Molecule: long non-coding RNA, 4010 nt
Organism: Betta splendens (Siamese fighting fish)
Lineage: Eukaryota; Metazoa; Chordata; Actinopteri; Anabantiformes; Osphronemidae
Exons: 2
Source: RefSeq, a predicted model, not a curated record